Molecule: ribosomal RNA, 911 nt
Filed under: Trichophyton mentagrophytes
Lineage: Eukaryota; Fungi; Ascomycota; Eurotiomycetes; Onygenales; Arthrodermataceae
Description: LSU rRNA
Rfam family: Eukaryotic large subunit ribosomal RNA
Source: RNAcentral
UUAAGCAUAUCAAUAAGCGGAGGAAAAGAAACCAACAGGGAUUGCCCCAGUAACGGCGAGUGAAGCGGCAAGAGCUCAAAUUUGAAAUCUGGCCUCCUCCGGGGGUCCGAGUUGUAAUUUGCAGAGGAUGCUUCGGGUGCGGCCCCCGUCUAAGUUCCUUGGAACAGGACGUCAGAGAGGGUGAGAAUCCCGUCUUGGGCGGGCGGCCCGCGCCCGUGUGAAGCUCCUUCGACGAGUCGAGUUGUUUGGGAAUGCAGCUCUAAGCGGGUGGUAAAUUUCAUCUAAAGCUAAAUAUUGGCCGGAGACCGAUAGCGCACAAGUAGAGUGAUCGAAAGGUUAAAAGCACCUUGAAAAGGGAGUUAAACAGCACGUGAAAUUGUUGAAAGGGAAGCGCUUGCGGCCAGACUCGGGGGCGGGGUUCAGCGGGCGCUCGUCGCCCGUGCACUCCCCGCGCCCCGGGCCAGCAUCAGUUUCGACGGUCGGUCAAAGGCCCCCGGAAUGUGUCGUCUCUAGGGACGUCUUAUAGCCGGGGGUGCAAUGCGGCCCGUCGGGACUGAGGAACGCGCUUCGGCUCGGAUGCUGGCGUAAUGGCCGUAAGCGGCCCGUCUUGAAACACGGACCAAGGAGUCUAACAUCCACGCGAGUGUUCGGGUGUCAAACCCGUGCGCGCAGUGAAAGCGAACGGAGGUGGGAGCCUUUGGGCGCACCAUCGACCGAUCCUGAAGUCUUCGGAUGGAUUUGAGUAGGAGCGUGGCCGUUGGGACCCGAAAGAUGGUGAACUAUGCCUGAAUAGGGUGAAGCCAGAGGAAACUCUGGUGGAGGCUCGCAGCGGUUCUGACGUGCAAAUCGAUCGUCAAAUUUGGGCAUAGGGGCGAAAGACUAAUCGAACCAUCUAGUAGCUGGUUCCUGCC